GGGCCCCUAGCUCAGCGGCAGAGCAACCGGCUCAUAACCGGUUGGGCCUCGGUUCGAAUCCGAGGGGGCCCA
Molecule: transfer RNA, 72 nt
Filed under: Anaerolineae bacterium
Lineage: Bacteria; Bacillati; Chloroflexota; Anaerolineae
Description: tRNA-Met
Rfam family: tRNA
About the family: Transfer RNA (tRNA) molecules are approximately 80 nucleotides in length. Their secondary structure includes four short double-helical elements and three loops (D, anti-codon, and T loops).
Source: RNAcentral